AAUCAACCACUGGAAUAAUCUCCUCAGGAAGUGGUGGAUUCCUCAACACUGAACACUUUUAAGAUUCAACUGGACAGGGUGCUGAGCCAUCUUGCACAGAUUGUGCUUUUGCCAAGAAGGAUUGGACCAGGAGAAAGAACUGUUCCAGGAAAGAAAGAGUAGGUUUGGGGCUUCUCCUGUUUGGCAUUUCUACCUGUAUCAAGCACUACAGAAGGCACUAGGAUCCAGCAUCAGCAUCGCAGUUAAAGCAAGACAAUGAAGGUCAUGCAAGACUUGACUGAGCAAUGGAACAAAUCAGCAAUCCCUGCUUUGCAAUGGCAAAGCAAACACAGGAUUGAAAUAAAGUUGCAGAACAGUUAAAUAGA
Molecule: long non-coding RNA, 365 nt
Organism: Columba livia (rock pigeon)
Lineage: Eukaryota; Metazoa; Chordata; Aves; Columbiformes; Columbidae
Exons: 2
Source: RefSeq, a predicted model, not a curated record